UACGAAGGGGGCUAGCGUUGCGCGGAAUCACUGGGCGUAAAGGGUGCGUAGGCGGGUCUUUAAGUCAGGGGUGAAAUCCUGGAGCUCAACUCCAGAACUGCCUUUGAUACUGAAGGUCUUGAGUUCGGGAGAGGUGAGUGGAACUGCGAGUGUAGAGGUGAAAUUCGUAGAUAUUCGCAAGAACACCAGUGGCGAAGGCGGCUCACUGGCCCGAUACUGACGCUGAGGCACGAAAGCGUGGGGAGCAAACAGG
Molecule: ribosomal RNA, 253 nt
Filed under: uncultured bacterium
Lineage: Bacteria
Description: partial 16S ribosomal RNA
Rfam family: Bacterial small subunit ribosomal RNA
Source: RNAcentral